This 252-nucleotide ribosomal RNA is filed under the name uncultured bacterium. Its description in RNAcentral is "partial 16S ribosomal RNA". It matches the Rfam family "Bacterial small subunit ribosomal RNA", at positions 524 to 776 of the family's 1533-position model. The record is from RNAcentral.
UACGUAGGGGGCAAGCGUUGUCCGGAAUCAUUGGGCGUAAAGCGCGUGUAGGCGGUCCGGUAAGUCCGCUGUGAAAGUCGGGGGCUCAACCCUCGGAUGCCGGUGGAUACUGUCGGGCUUGAGUACGGAAGAGGCGAGUGGAAUUCCUGGUGUAGCGGUGAAAUGCGCAGAUAUCAGGAGGAACACCAAUGCGAAGGCAGCUCGCUGGGACGUUACUGACGCUGAGACGCGAAAGCGUGGGGAGCAAACAGG